GACGAACGCUGGCGGCGUGCCUAAUACAUGCAAGUCGAACGAACGGAUAAAGAGCUUGCUCUUUUGAAGUUAGUGGCGGACGGGUGAGUAACACGUGGGUAACCUGCCUCACAGCUGGGGAUAACAUCGAGAAAUCGAUGCUAAUACCGAAUGUGCUGAACAUCCUAAGAUGUUCAAGUGAAAGACGGUUUCGGCUGUCACUGUGAGAUGGACCCGCGCUGGAUUAGCUAGUUGGUAAGGUAAUGGCUUACCAAGGCGACGAUCCAUAGCCGACCUGAGAGGGUGAUCGGCCACAUUGGGACUGGACCACGGCCCAAACUCCUACGGGAGGCAGCAGUAGGGAAUCGUCGGCAAUGGACGAAAGUCUGACCGAGCAACGCCGCGUGAGCGAAGAAGGCCUUCGGGUCGUAAAGCUCUGUUGUUAGAGAAGAACAUGGGUGAGAGUAACUGUUCACCCCUUGACGGUAGCUAACCAGAAAGCCACGGCUAACUACGUG
RNAcentral lists this ribosomal RNA (497 nucleotides) under uncultured bacterium. RNAcentral's name for it is "partial 16S ribosomal RNA". It matches the Rfam family "Bacterial small subunit ribosomal RNA", at positions 28 to 507 of the family's 1533-position model. The record is from RNAcentral.